GUCUCUUUGGAGACAUCCGAUAAAAUUGGAACUAUACCGAGAAGAUUAGCAUGGCCCCUGUGCAACGAUGACACGCACAAAUCGAGAAAUGAUUCAAUUUUUU
This 103-nucleotide small nuclear RNA is filed under the name Manihot esculenta (cassava). The record is from RNAcentral. Lineage: Eukaryota; Viridiplantae; Streptophyta; Magnoliopsida; Malpighiales; Euphorbiaceae.